CAGAGCAGGAGAUACAGCUCCCGUUCAGAGCAGGGCAGAUGCUCCUUUGCGUGCAUCCCUGUGCCCUAAGACUGAGUCAGCGUGUGGGAGCACUGGUGGAUGGAUGCACCAACCUGAGCUGCAGCUGCAAACUCAAUGUCUUCAGGCACAUGUAACAUAGUUUUUAAUACUGGUCUUACUACAUGUGGAUAUUGCACUGCUGGGGUUAGCUGAAGCUCAGUGGGGUUUCGGAUCUGACAUUGCCUUCUCCUUAUGGCAGUGGAACCAUUAGGCAGUCGCAGUCACUCUGGUGGGGGUGAUAAGAGCACUGUGCUAGGGAAACAGCGAGGCAUCAUCAGGAGGACUGGAAGGAUGAUGAGAACUUAAG
This 367-nucleotide long non-coding RNA is filed under the name Gallus gallus (chicken). RNAcentral's name for it is "long non-coding RNA NONGGAT002052". The record is from RNAcentral. Lineage: Eukaryota; Metazoa; Chordata; Aves; Galliformes; Phasianidae.